RNAcentral lists this ribosomal RNA (307 nucleotides) under Pentatrichomonas hominis. RNAcentral describes it as "SSU rRNA". It matches the Rfam family "Eukaryotic small subunit ribosomal RNA", at positions 1046 to 1363 of the family's 1831-position model. Lineage: Eukaryota; Parabasalia; Trichomonadida; Trichomonadidae. The record is from RNAcentral.
CAGAGGUUUGUCAUUUUAUAAUGGCAGAACUUUUAGAGAAAUCAUAGUUCUUGGGCUCUGGGGGAACUACGACCGCAAGGCUGAAACUUGAAGGAAUUGACGGAAGGGCACACCAGGGGUGGAGCCUGUGGCUUAAUUUGAAUCAACACGGGGAAACUUACCAGGACCAGAUGUUUUUAUGACUGACAGGCUUCGGGUCUUUCAGGAUAUUGCUUUUGGUGGUGCAUGGCCGUUGGUGGUGCGUGGGUUGACCUGUCAAGCGUUGAUUCAGCUAACGAGCGAGAUUAUCGCCAAUUAUAUAGCUCGC